AUACGUAGGGUGCGAGCGUUAAUCGGAAUUACUGGGCGUAAAGCGUGCGCAGGCGGUUUUGUAAGACAGUGGUGAAAUCCCCGGGCUCAACCUGGGAACUGCCAUUGUGACUGCAAGGCUGGAGUGCGGCCGAGGGGGAUGGACUUCCGGGUGUAGCAGGGAAAUGCGUAGAUAUGCGGAGGAACACCGAUGGCGAAGGCAAUCCCCUGGGCCUGCACUGACGCUCAUGCACGAAAGCGUGGGGAGCAAACAGGAUUAGAUACCCUGGUAGUCCACGCCCUAAACGAUGUCAACUGGUUGUUGGGAAUUUAUUUUCUCAGUAACGAAGCUAACGCGUGAAGUUGACCGCCUGGGGAGUACGGCCGCAAGGUUAAAACUCAAAUGAAUUGGCGGGG
RNAcentral lists this ribosomal RNA (395 nucleotides) under uncultured bacterium. Its description in RNAcentral is "partial 16S ribosomal RNA". It matches the Rfam family "Bacterial small subunit ribosomal RNA", at positions 523 to 918 of the family's 1533-position model. The record is from RNAcentral.